RNAcentral lists this ribosomal RNA (253 nucleotides) under uncultured bacterium. Its description in RNAcentral is "partial 16S ribosomal RNA". It matches the Rfam family "Bacterial small subunit ribosomal RNA", at positions 524 to 776 of the family's 1533-position model. The record is from RNAcentral.
UACGUAGGGUGCAAGCGUUGUCCGGAAUUAUUGGGCGUAAAGAGCUCGUAGGCGGUUCGUCGCGUCGGCUGUGAAAACCCGGAGCUCAACUCCGGGCCUGCAGUCGAUACGGGCGGACUUGAGUGUUGCAGGGGAGACUGGAAUUCCUGGUGUAGCGGUGAAAUGCGCAGAUAUCAGGAGGAACACCGGUGGCGAAGGCGGGUCUCUGGGCAACUACUGACGCCGAGGAGCGAAAGCGUGGGGAGCGAACAGG